RNAcentral lists this long non-coding RNA (1628 nucleotides) under Malus domestica (apple). Its description in RNAcentral is "long non-coding RNA (MDOM_LNC006447)". The record is from RNAcentral. Lineage: Eukaryota; Viridiplantae; Streptophyta; Magnoliopsida; Rosales; Rosaceae.
CGAACUCGAAUGGCGUGAUCUUCCGCCGCAUACACUCCGUUCCCGUGAUCCGCCUCGCACUCGGGUCGGAAUCAUGCGGCCAGUGGGAGAAUAAAAAAGAGGCAUUGACUCCCUAUGGACCUAUGGUAUGCUACUUUUGAUAUUUAGGGUUAGGGUUUAUGAUCCAGGUUGCUUAAUUCUCAGCUUCUUUUAACUUUUAGCUUUAGGGUUUAUGUGUAAAUGUAGUGCAAAUUGGUUCGUUGAUUGAGUAUAAUUUCUCAUCAUAUAUCUCCGAGUCCUUAGCACGUAUGUAUUUCAAGGAGUUUUCGUAAACUUUUAAAAGACGAAUUUUAUAAAAACUAACUGGGAUGCUAAAACCACAAGGCAAUUAAGCAGGUUGGUGGUAUAACUUCUAGAUUACCAAUAAGCAUCUCAAUAUUUAUCCCAUGUGCACUGAGUUUUUUGGCUUGUCGAUGUCGUUAUCUCCUCUUCUUUUCUUUCAUUUUUUGUUUAGUUUGUAUUUGACAUUAAAAUGGAAUUGCAAACUGCAAGCAGAUAGCAAGUCAGAAGCAUCAAAGAGUCAUGGAAACCGUCUGCCUCGAUCGUUCCAGGAGAAACUUGAUGAGAGGGCAGCUCGAGGUAUGCUUGAGGUUUCUAUAUAGUACAAUUUCAUUUGUUUGCAAGGCUCCAUUUGGGUGGUAGGUUAAUUAAGUCAUUAGUUUGGGGAAGGAAUACAAUAUGCAUCGACGUUUCACUUCAAUAACUACUAAAUGGAAUAUCUUUCUUUCUUUCUAACUGAAUUGUUGAAUAGAAUUGAGUCAGUAUGUCUAGAUUGCCUAAGCUACCCGUUCAUGUUGUGCUGGGAGUCAGUUGCCAGAAAAAUUUGUGUAAUUGGCUCAAUAGUUUAUGACUAUAUUUAUGUAUACAUAUAUGUUGUGCAGCAAGAAAAGUUUACUUGUGCCUACUAUAUAUAAAGUUUGUUUUCCUUUUUAGUUUUAUGGUUUCGUGAAGAUUUUCUGGAAUUUGCUUGGGCGGCCUCCCGUCCUCCGCAUAUUUAGAUGAUUUACUCAUAUUAGUUUACGCAUGAAUUCGUUAAUUACCCUUUUGUGCUAGGAAUAUAUUCACCGAGUAUGUCGUUGUGUAAUUGUCUUUCAUUUCUGCCUACUUGAUGGGCCUUGAUAUGAUUUUGCAAUGGGAUCAUAACUUUAGCUACCACUAUUUACUAGGGAUAGACGUCCCUGACAAAUUCAAGUUCAAAAAGAAGACGAAGGAAAAGAACAAAAGUCUAUUCCCAUUGAGGAUGGAAUUAUAAUCGAAGAUGAUGACUAGUGAAGACGAUGAUGAUGACUUUGAACCACCAAGUGGUGGAAUUCCAUAUGAUGGAAACUCUACGAAGCCUGAGGAUAUUGCGGAAUGGGUGAGAAUGGGGCUAAAGCUUUGGCGACAAAAUUUGAUAGGAAGGAAAGUUUGUUGCUUAUCUAGUGUUAUGUCUUCUAGAAUUUGUUCCGGUCGUUGUGUAGUGCUAUGUCAUCUGGAACUUGUCGUAUUAAUUAUGUUAUUAUUUAUGUUCAAGAAAUGUACAAGUGUCAUCACUCAUUGUAGUGUUAUGUCUUGUAGAACUCAUCUUACUACAAAAGUGCUGGUGUGUG